UACGUAGGGUGCAAGCGUUGUCCGGAAUUAUUGGGCGUAAAGAGCUCGUAGGCGGUUUGUCGCGUCGAAUGUGAAAACCCGGGGCUCAACCCCGGGCCUGCAUUCGAUACGGGCAGACUAGAGUUCGGUAGGGGAGUCUGGAAUUCCUGGUGUAGCGGUGAAAUGCGCAGAUAUCAGGAGGAACACCGGUGGCGAAGGCGGGACUGUGGGCCGAUACUGACGCUGAGGAGCGAAAGCGUGGGGAGCAAACAGG
This 253-nucleotide ribosomal RNA is filed under the name uncultured bacterium. Its description in RNAcentral is "partial 16S ribosomal RNA". It matches the Rfam family "Bacterial small subunit ribosomal RNA", at positions 524 to 776 of the family's 1533-position model. The record is from RNAcentral.